GGUGAAAAGCACCCCGGAAGGGGAGUGAAAUAGAACCUGAAACCGUGUGCUUACAAGUAGUCAGAGCCCGUUAAUGGGUGAUGGCGUGCCUUUUGUAGAAUGAACCGGCGAGUUACGAUUUGAUGCAAGGUUAAGCAGUAAAUGUGGAGCCGUAGCGAAAGCGAGUCUGAAUAGGGCGUUUAGUAUUUGGUCGUAGACCCGAAACCAGGUGAUCUACCCUUGGUCAGGUUGAAGUUCAGGUAACACUGAAUGGAGGACCGAACCGACUUACGUUGAAAAGUGAGCGGAUGAACUGAGGGUAGCGGAGAAAUUCCAAUCGAACCUGGAGAUAGCUGGUUCUCUCCGAAAUAGCUUUAGGGCUAGCCUCAAGUGAUGAUUAUUGGAGGUAGAGCACUGUUUGGACGAGGGGCCCCUCUCGGGUUACCGAAUUCAGACAAACUCCGAAUGCCAAUUAAUUUAACUUGGGAGUCAGAACAUGGGUGAUAAGGUCCGUGUUCGAAAGGGAAACAGCCCAGACCACCAGCUAAGGUCCCAAAAUAUAUGUUAAGUGGAAAAGGAUGUGGCGUUGCCCAGACAACUAGGAUGUUGGCU
Molecule: ribosomal RNA, 591 nt
Filed under: Staphylococcus aureus
Lineage: Bacteria; Bacillati; Bacillota; Bacilli; Caryophanales; Staphylococcaceae
Description: partial 23S ribosomal RNA
Rfam family: Bacterial large subunit ribosomal RNA
Source: RNAcentral